GCAAACUUGGUCAUUUAGAGGAAGUAAAAGUCGUAACAAGGUCUCCGUUGGUGAACCAGCGGAGGGAUCAUUACAGAGUUAUGACACUCCCAACCCUUUGUGAACCAUACCGUCGUUGCCUCGGCGCAUAACCUGGCGGUCGCUUUCCGGUAGCUACCCUGGAGUCACCUACCCUGUAGAUGGCUACCCUGUAAGUGGCUACCCUGAAGCUCCCUACCCGGGAGCAUACCUACCCUGUAGGUGGCUACCCGGGAGACCGCCAGCCGCGUCAAAGGACCUCUAAACUCUUGUUUUUUUUGGUGUAUUUCUGAAUGGUAUCCAAAUUCGUUAAAACUUUCAACAACGGAUCUCUUGGUUCUGGCAUCGAUGAAGAACGCAGC
Molecule: unclassified non-coding RNA, 380 nt
Filed under: uncultured fungus
Lineage: Eukaryota; Fungi
Description: partial contains small subunit ribosomal RNA, internal transcribed spacer 1, and 5.8S ribosomal RNA
Rfam family: Eukaryotic small subunit ribosomal RNA (bases 1-73)
Source: RNAcentral